CGCAUCUGUGCAUGCAGCAUAUCAAUAAGCGGAGGAAAAGAAACUAACAAGGAUUCCCUUAGUAACGGCGAGUGAAGCGGGAAGAGCUCAAAUUUGAAAUCUUCAAGGUUUUACCUUGACGAAUUGUAGUUUAAAGAAGUGUUUUCUGCUGAAGUUUUGGUAAAAGUUCUUUGGAAUAGGACAUCAUAGAGGGUGAGAAUCCCGUAUUUGACCAUUAUUUUCAGCUUUGUGAUACACUUUCAAAGAGUCGGAUUGUUUGGGAAUGCAGUCCAAAAUGGGUGGUAAAUUUCAUCUAAAGCUAAAUAUUGGCGAGAGACCGAUAGCGAACAAGUACCGUGAGGGAGAGAUGAACAGAACUUUGAAAAGAGAGUUAAACAGUACGUGAAAUUGUCAAAAGGGAAGCGUUUGACACCAGUGUUGUUUUCUCGAAAAUCAAUUAAAAAUGGCUCGAUUUUGUAUUGCUUGAGACCUUAAAAGCUCACUGUACAUUUUUCGUGUCUUUUUUAAUGCACUUUUCGUUUAACAAGUCAACAUCAGUUUCUUUUGUUGUAAAAGGGUCAUUGGAAGGUGGCUUUCUUUUCGGAGAAAGUGUUUAUAGCCUUUGGCCUCUGCAAUCGAAGAGACUGAGGUCUGCAGCGUAGACUCUUCGGGGUUAGAUACAUUUGUGCUAAGUUAUAGCUUUUUAUAGACAACUUGUUGACUAUAAUUAGUCUUGUAGCUUACUCGCUUAUGCUAUUUUACCUACGCUUAGGAUGUUGAUAGUCACAGCGUGUAC
This 775-nucleotide ribosomal RNA is filed under the name uncultured Neocallimastigales. Its description in RNAcentral is "partial large subunit ribosomal RNA". It matches the Rfam family "Eukaryotic large subunit ribosomal RNA", at positions 26 to 633 of the family's 3401-position model. The record is from RNAcentral. Lineage: Eukaryota; Fungi; Neocallimastigomycota; Neocallimastigomycetes; Neocallimastigales.